RNAcentral lists this ribosomal RNA (2296 nucleotides) under Staphylococcus aureus. RNAcentral describes it as "bacterial LSU rRNA". It matches the Rfam family "Bacterial large subunit ribosomal RNA", at positions 3 to 2297 of the family's 2925-position model. Lineage: Bacteria; Bacillati; Bacillota; Bacilli; Caryophanales; Staphylococcaceae. The record is from RNAcentral.
UUAAGUUAUUAAGGGCGCACGGUGGAUGCCUUGGCACUAGAAGCCGAUGAAGGACGUUACUAACGACGAUAUGCUUUGGGGAGCUGUAAGUAAGCUUUGAUCCAGAGAUUUCCGAAUGGGGAAACCCAGCAUGAGUUAUGUCAUGUUAUCGAUAUGUGAAUACAUAGCAUAUCAGAAGGCACACCCGGAGAACUGAAACAUCUUAGUACCCGGAGGAAGAGAAAGAAAAUUCGAUUCCCUUAGUAGCGGCGAGCGAAACGGGAAGAGCCCAAACCAACAAGCUUGCUUGUUGGGGUUGUAGGACACUCUAUACGGAGUUACAAAGGACGACAUUAGACGAAUCAUCUGGAAAGAUGAAUCAAAGAAGGUAAUAAUCCUGUAGUCGAAAAUGUUGUCUCUCUUGAGUGGAUCCUGAGUACGACGGAGCACGUGAAAUUCCGUCGGAAUCUGGGAGGACCAUCUCCUAAGGCUAAAUACUCUCUAGUGACCGAUAGUGAACCAGUACCGUGAGGGAAAGGUGAAAAGCACCCCGGAAGGGGAGUGAAAUAGAACCUGAAACCGUGUGCUUACAAGUAGUCAGAGCCCGUUAAUGGGUGAUGGCGUGCCUUUUGUAGAAUGAACCGGCGAGUUACGAUUUGAUGCAAGGUUAAGCAGUAAAUGUGGAGCCGUAGCGAAAGCGAGUCUGAAUAGGGCGUUUAGUAUUUGGUCGUAGACCCGAAACCAGGUGAUCUACCCUUGGUCAGGUUGAAGUUCAGGUAACACUGAAUGGAGGACCGAACCGACUUACGUUGAAAAGUGAGCGGAUGAACUGAGGGUAGCGGAGAAAUUCCAAUCGAACCUGGAGAUAGCUGGUUCUCUCCGAAAUAGCUUUAGGGCUAGCCUCAAGUGAUGAUUAUUGGAGGUAGAGCACUGUUUGGACGAGGGGCCCCUCUCGGGUUACCGAAUUCAGACAAACUCCGAAUGCCAAUUAAUUUAACUUGGGAGUCAGAACAUGGGUGAUAAGGUCCGUGUUCGAAAGGGAAACAGCCCAGACCACCAGCUAAGGUCCCAAAAUAUAUGUUAAGUGGAAAAGGAUGUGGCGUUGCCCAGACAACUAGGAUGUUGGCUUAGAAGCAGCCAUCAUUUAAAGAGUGCGUAAUAGCUCACUAGUCGAGUGACACUGCGCCGAAAAUGUACCGGGGCUAAACAUAUUACCGAAGCUGUGGAUUGUCCUUUGGACAAUGGUAGGAGAGCGUUCUAAGGGCGUUGAAGCAUGAUCGUAAGGACAUGUGGAGCGCUUAGAAGUGAGAAUGCCGGUGUGAGUAGCGAAAGACGGGUGAGAAUCCCGUCCACCGAUUGACUAAGGUUUCCAGAGGAAGGCUCGUCCGCUCUGGGUUAGUCGGGUCCUAAGCUGAGGCCGACAGGCGUAGGCGAUGGAUAACAGGUUGAUAUUCCUGUACCACCUAUAAUCGUUUUAAUCGAUGGGGGGACGCAGUAGGAUAGGCGAAGCGUGCGAUUGGAUUGCACGUCUAAGCAGUAAGGCUGAGUAUUAGGCAAAUCCGGUACUCGUUAAGGCUGAGCUGUGAUGGGGAGAAGACAUUGUGUCUUCGAGUCGUUGAUUUCACACUGCCGAGAAAAGCCUCUAGAUAGAAAAUAGGUGCCCGUACCGCAAACCGACACAGGUAGUCAAGAUGAGAAUUCUAAGGUGAGCGAGCGAACUCUCGUUAAGGAACUCGGCAAAAUGACCCCGUAACUUCGGGAGAAGGGGUGCUCUUUAGGGUUAACGCCCAGAAGAGCCGCAGUGAAUAGGCCCAAGCGACUGUUUAUCAAAAACACAGGUCUCUGCUAAACCGUAAGGUGAUGUAUAGGGGCUGACGCCUGCCCGGUGCUGGAAGGUUAAGAGGAGUGGUUAGCUUCUGCGAAGCUACGAAUCGAAGCCCCAGUAAACGGCGGCCGUAACUAUAACGGUCCUAAGGUAGCGAAAUUCCUUGUCGGGUAAGUUCCGACCCGCACGAAAGGCGUAACGAUUUGGGCACUGUCUCAACGAGAGACUCGGUGAAAUCAUAGUACCUGUGAAGAUGCAGGUUACCCGCGACAGGACGGAAAGACCCCGUGGAGCUUUACUGUAGCCUGAUAUUGAAAUUCGGCACAGCUUGUACAGGAUAGGUAGGAGCCUUUGAAACGUGAGCGCUAGCUUACGUGGAGGCGCUGGUGGGAUACUACCCUAGCUGUGUUGGCUUUCUAACCCGCACCACUUAUCGUGGUGGGAGACAGUGUCAAGCGGGCAGUUUGACUGGGGCGGUCGCCUCCUAAAAGG